This 281-nucleotide long non-coding RNA is filed under the name Helianthus annuus (common sunflower). RNAcentral describes it as "hypothetical non coding rna". Lineage: Eukaryota; Viridiplantae; Streptophyta; Magnoliopsida; Asterales; Asteraceae. The record is from RNAcentral.
ACCACCUGCUUGCUUAACGAUGUAGCCUUCUUCGCCAUGACGUCUAUUUUAACCAAUACAGAUUAUACAAGAAUCACAAAGUAUUCAAGAGCCACAGACAUGGAAAAUUAGUUGUGGAAGAUGUUCUCUUGCCAGCAGCUCCAUUCAGACUUGACCAUGGUUCCCCCUCUGUCCAGGCCACUCAUAAAAAAAUGGGUGCAUCAUGUGUUGCUGGCACGAACCCGGCCUGUUUAGAGUUUUUUAAUGAAUUGUGGGCGUUGCAUAUUCACGUAUUUCAAUUU